This 403-nucleotide long non-coding RNA is filed under the name Bos taurus (domestic cattle). RNAcentral describes it as "long non-coding RNA NONBTAT024400". The record is from RNAcentral. Lineage: Eukaryota; Metazoa; Chordata; Mammalia; Artiodactyla; Bovidae.
AAAUGAACAAUGCAAACCUGCCAUCUAUUUAAGAAAGUAUGUUUGUAGUUAUGGCACACUCUUCCAUUCUUACAUAAUAGGCUUAUUCUUUGAAUUGUGCCUAAAGAUUUAAUACCACAGUUUCAUGUGGACAAUAUCCAAUGCCAGAGAUUCCUUGUUCUUUCUGAACAUACCUAAGAAAAUCAAUGUUUCUGAGAUAAGAUAAGAUUUUCUUACUUGCUUUUCUUCAUUUACUUCAUUACUUCCAGGAGUAAAUUGCAGCUAUUAAUUUAUUUAUGAAAUUCUAACGUUAAUAAGAUCUGCAGAGCUUUAUUAUCUGAGAUUCCUGUUCUUCUUAUAUGUUCACAUGCAUGUACUCAAAAGCCUUCGUUUGAAAAUGUUCAUAAAAGAAGUAUCAAACCCA